GUCCUGUUAGUCCUGUUAGUCCUGUUAGGCCGUCCUGUUAGUCCUGUUAGGCCGUCCUGUUAGGCCGUCCUGUUAGUCCUGUUAGUCCUGUUAGGCCGUCCUGUUAGUCCUGUUAGGCCGUCCUGUUAGUCCUGUUAGGCCGUCCUGUUAGUCCUGUUAGUCCUGUUAGGCCGUCCUGUUAGGCCGUCCUGUUAGUCCUGUUAGGCCGUCCUGUUAGUCCGUCCUGUUAGGCCGUCCUGUUAGUCCUGUUAGGCCGUCCUGUUAGUCCUGUUAGGCCGUCCUGUUAGUCCUGUUAGUCCUGUUAGGCUGUCCUGUUAGUCCUGUUAGGCCGUCCUGUUAGUCCUGUUAGUCCUGUUAGGCCGUCCUGGAAGGCCGUCCUGUUAGUCCUGUUAGGCCGUCCUGUUAGUCCUGUUAGUCCUGUUAG
RNAcentral lists this long non-coding RNA (424 nucleotides) under Salmo salar (Atlantic salmon). Its description in RNAcentral is "lncRNA (ENSSSAG00000115418.1)". The record is from RNAcentral. Lineage: Eukaryota; Metazoa; Chordata; Actinopteri; Salmoniformes; Salmonidae.